CGGCCUUGCAUGGUGCUCUAUGGCUCUUCUGCAUGGCCCCAGCCUAGGCUGCCCCAUGGAUGGCAUUUGUGCUGCACUAGCCUUUGCCUGAAAUGCCCCCUCUUCCCGAUGCACGCCGUCCCUGCGUGGAGACUUGGUGGAGUCACGGGUACCAACCUGUGGGUUCAGGCAUUCAGAGUCCUUCUGCCAGGACUGGCUGGAAGAGGCUCCAGGGUGGUGCUGAGGCCAGCUGCGUUUUCUCCAAGCCAAAAUUCCAGUCCAAAGUCAGUGACUUGGAGCGGGAACAUAAGAUGCAGCUGGCAAUAUUCAAGAUGGCGGCAGUUCUGUCUACUUCAAGUGCUGAUGGUAAACAGAGCCCCUCUGCCAACCCACAACAGGCACAGCACAA
RNAcentral lists this long non-coding RNA (388 nucleotides) under Homo sapiens (human). Its description in RNAcentral is "HSALNT0326061". Lineage: Eukaryota; Metazoa; Chordata; Mammalia; Primates; Hominidae. The record is from RNAcentral.